RNAcentral lists this transfer RNA (69 nucleotides) under Ictidomys tridecemlineatus (thirteen-lined ground squirrel). RNAcentral describes it as "Spermophilus tridecemlineatus (thirteen-lined ground squirrel) tRNA". It matches the Rfam family "tRNA". Rfam says of the family: Transfer RNA (tRNA) molecules are approximately 80 nucleotides in length. Lineage: Eukaryota; Metazoa; Chordata; Mammalia; Rodentia; Sciuridae. The record is from Rfam by way of RNAcentral.
GGAGUUGUGGCUCAGUGGUAGAGUGCUUGCCUAGAGAGUGUGAGGCACUGAGUUUGAUCCUCAGCACCA